Molecule: ribosomal RNA, 593 nt
Filed under: Streptomyces sp.
Lineage: Bacteria; Bacillati; Actinomycetota; Actinomycetes; Kitasatosporales; Streptomycetaceae
Description: bacterial SSU rRNA
Rfam family: Bacterial small subunit ribosomal RNA
Source: RNAcentral
ACACGUGGGCAAUCUGCCCUGCACUCUGGGACAAGCCCUGGAAACGGGGUCUAAUACCGGAUAUUACCUUCCUCUGCAUGGGGGUUGGUGGAAAGCUCCGGCGGUGCAGGAUGAGCCCGCGGCCUAUCAGCUUGUUGGUGGGGUAAUGGCCUACCAAGGCGACGACGGGUAGCCGGCCUGAGAGGGCGACCGGCCACACUGGGACUGAGACACGGCCCAGACUCCUACGGGAGGCAGCAGUGGGGAAUAUUGCACAAUGGGCGAAAGCCUGAUGCAGCGACGCCGCGUGAGGGAUGACGGCCUUCGGGUUGUAAACCUCUUUCAGCAGGGAAGAAGCGCAAGUGACGGUACCUGCAGAAGAAGCACCGGCUAACUACGUGCCAGCAGCCGCGGUAAUACGUAGGGUGCGAGCGUUGUCCGGAAUUAUUGGGCGUAAAGAGCUCGUAGGCGGCUUGUCACGUCGGUUGUGAAAGCCCGGGGCUUACCCCGGGUCUGAGCGAUCGGGCAGGCUAGAGUUCGGUAGGGGAGAUCGGAAUUCCUGGUGUAGCGGUGAAAUGCGCAGAUAUCAGGAGGAACACCGGUGSGAAGGCGGA